Long non-coding RNA from Nothoprocta perdicaria, 292 nucleotides. RefSeq lists it as uncharacterized. The record is from RefSeq and is a predicted model, not a curated record. NCBI's taxonomy places the organism in Eukaryota, Metazoa, Chordata, Aves, Tinamiformes, Tinamidae. The transcript has 2 exons.
AAGAGAAAAUGAAGCCUUCCUCUAAUGUAUGGAUAUUGAACGAAUGCUAUAAAAUGGCGUUGGACUYCACUGGAAAGGAAAAGGAAAUUUAACUACCUGAGAACUAGGAAAAUGGUGUGUUUUGGACAGCUCCCACCUUAACAAGGACCCAAAUAAAAUCUGAACAUGUGUACUAAAUGGAACAGAAACUGGAAACCUUGGGAAAACUUAAGAAACAUCUUAUUUUGCUAGCAGCACCUCUUCUUGCUCUGAUCAGUUGCAACCAGCUGCKCUUCCAGGAGGUGAUUUUCCA